Molecule: ribosomal RNA, 253 nt
Filed under: uncultured bacterium
Lineage: Bacteria
Description: partial 16S ribosomal RNA
Rfam family: Bacterial small subunit ribosomal RNA
Source: RNAcentral
UACGUAGGGUGCGAGCGUUGUCCGGAAUUACUGGGCGUAAAGAGCUUGUAGGCGGUUUGUCGCGUCGUCCGUGAAAACUUGGGGCUCAACCCCAAGCUUGCGGGCGAUACGGGCAGACUCGAGUACUUCAGGGGAGACUGGAAUUCCUGGUGUAGCGGUGAAAUGCGCAGAUAUCAGGAGGAACACCCGUGGCGAAGGCGGCUCUCUGGGACGGUACUGACGCUGAGACGCGAAAGCGUGGGGAGCAAACAGG